AUUGAACGCUGGCGGCAGGCCUAACACAUGCAAGUCGAGCGGAUGAAGGGAGCUUGCUCCUGGAUUCAGCGGCGGACGGGUGAGUAAUGCCUAGGAAUCUGCCUGGUAGUGGGGGAUAACGUCCGGAAACGGGCGCUAAUACCGCAUACGUCCUGAGGGAGAAAGUGGGGGAUCUUCGGACCUCACGCUAUCAGAUGAGCCUAGGUCGGAUUAGCUAGUUGGUGGGGUAAAGGCCUACCAAGGCGACGAUCCGUAACUGGUCUGAGAGGAUGAUCAGUCACACUGAAACUGAGACAGGGUCCAGAUCCUACGGGAGGCAGCAGUGGGGAAUAUUGGACAAUGGGCGAAAGCCUGAUCCAGCCAUGCCGCGUGUGUGAAGAAGGUCUUCGGAUUGUAAAGCACUUUAAGUUGGGAGGAAGGGCAGUAAGUUAAUACCUUGCUGUUUUGACGUUACCAACAGAAUAAGCACCGGCUAACUUCGUG
RNAcentral lists this ribosomal RNA (483 nucleotides) under uncultured bacterium. RNAcentral describes it as "partial 16S ribosomal RNA". It matches the Rfam family "Bacterial small subunit ribosomal RNA", at positions 30 to 507 of the family's 1533-position model. The record is from RNAcentral.